Triticum aestivum (bread wheat) is the source of this 3827-nucleotide long non-coding RNA. RefSeq lists it as uncharacterized. The transcript has 10 exons. The record is from RefSeq and is a predicted model, not a curated record. Lineage: Eukaryota; Viridiplantae; Streptophyta; Magnoliopsida; Poales; Poaceae.
CGCCCCCUCCUCCCCGAUUCCUCUCCCUCCCCCUCUUCCUCGUCUGCUGCCGCCACCACUCACCGGAGCCCUCCCCCACCGCCGCCGCCGCCGCUGCCGCCACCGCCAGCGCCACCACCAGCGCCCUGGCCAACAGCCUACAACCCACCCCCCUCUCCUGCUUAUCUUAUCCCCACCACUGGCAAGCUCCCCCCCUUCACCUCGCCCCAGAUCGAAUGCCAUGGACAAGGAGAGCAUCUCUCUCUGAUCAUGAAGCAGCCCCAACCCUAGCCCUUCUUUGGCCAUGGCGGCUGAGUAGGCAGGAGAUAAAGAAAGCACUGCGUGGUGUUCGUGUUGAAGCAAACCACCAGAAAGACCAAAUCAGAAAAUAGAAGAUAACAGGAAUUACUCCUGUCCACAUUGAGCCAGCGGAAAUUUCCUGUUGAUGAGAGAGGAACAAUAAUGCCAGUCGUUCAGUACUUCAAGGACAUAUACAACUGCAAUCUGCAGUAUACUACUUGGCCCUGCCUGCAGUCUGGAAGUGAUUAUCGGCCUGUAUAUUUGCCUAUGGAGGCAUGCAAGCUUGUUGAAGGGCAAAGGUACUCUAAGAAGUUGAAUUAUAAACAGGUCACCAACAUACUUAGAGCUACCUGUCAACGUCCCCAGCAGAGGGAGCAAAGCAUUCAUGAGGCACCUGUAUUUAGAUGCUGUGAAUACUGAUAGUAAAUUAUUUUUUCUUAUAGUCUGGAUCAUCUGCUGCACAUUUGUUAAUUUUUUUGAUGACCAGAUUUCGCUAGGCAAUUUCAUGAGUGGGUGCCUGCACAAAUUGCUCGAGUAUUUUCAGCCACAUCAAUGUCCAGCACCUCUUGUAACAAUAUGGACGGCCACUACUUCUUCGGCUCAAGCGAUCGACCCCUUCGCCGACGAUGAAUCGACGUCCGGAGCUCUACAGAAACUACCAGCAUGACAGUUGCAAAUACGAGGAGCAGUGCAGGUUCGUGCACGCCAACUCUAACCAACAGUGAACCCAACCAAUUCAGGUUUUGGUACCGGGAGCAGGCAACAGCCGCAACAUAUUGUUUGGUUAGAGGCAUGCUAAUCAAUCAAUUGAGCAACAACUGAAUUCUGGAGGUAGUGCUGGAUUAUGGAAACUAUUUUAUGAUUUCAUAAUUUUUCUUUUCCAUCAUCUUUCAGUUCUUACCCAUUGCUCUGCUUUUGUAUUCUGCUAUCCUCUGUUGUAGUUUUGUGAGUUUAUCUGUUGUUAAUCCACCAACAGAAGGAAUGCAACAGAAAUGUGCAUGUUAAUGCUUACUAGAUACAUGAUUUCUUUCUUCCGUAGACGAUCCAAAUAUGGGCAUGUAUACUUCAAGACUUAAUUCUAACCAGGCGCUAAGGAAAUCCGCUCUGAACUAAGAAGGAAGAACAGAAGCAACAGCGUACAUCACGAAGAUAGGCACAGAUAAAUGGAUGCAUUCCAAUCCUUCUGAUCCAAAUAUAGAAAAGCAUCCUAUUAGAUUGGUCACCACAGGGUGAGUAUUAUCUAACUUCUCUCCACUGUAAGUAUAACAUAAAUGUAGGAAUGAUUGAACUUACGGAUUUAGAGUGUGAUGCUAAUUAAAUUACACGCACAACCAAAUUAUUUAUUUUUACUUUCAUAAUAGUAAGAUAUGACUUCUGAAGACUUUGUGGUAUGUUCUUGCGUGAUUUUUUUUUCAUAAAUGGGUCUUCAAUUUUGUUUUCAAACCUUUACAUGCCAUCAAUAGUUGUGGAGAUAUCUAUGCGUUUGGUGCUAAAUCGUCAUUUGGUGUGGCGAUCAUGACCAAUGGUAAUGUUUUAAUAGGCUGGAAACCUCCAUCAUUCGUCUAGCUACAAAUUUCAAACUAAUGUCAUAUAUGCGAGUGUCAGCAUCGUGGAAACACUGAGACCUAUUCUGUGAGAAAUAUGAAAUAUGUUUUGGAAAACAUGUGUCAUAAGUUAAUCAUGGGAAAAAAUAAAUCAAAAGAUAUCUUCUAUUCACGUUUUAUUUGUUUUGCUUAUAUACCUAACAAUCAGUGGCAUUUCUUUUUCUAUUUUUUUGCUUCCAUAAAUUUGAUGGGAAGUAGCCAAUGUAUAGUGUUGCUUCACUUACUAUGCUAUAAGCCUUUUUUUGGGCAUUAACUCUGCUGCCAAAGGCAUAUGUAAGCCUUAGAUAUAUGCACUAUAGAAGAAAUGUGGAAUGUUCUGUUAAAGCGUCACAACAUCAAUAAGAAUCUUGCACGCUGUUUAGAUGGUCGAUGGAGAGAUCAAGCAGACUUUUCCCACUAACUUUUUGUCGUCCGUGUCCAGUUUGACGCAGGCUGCCUCCGAACAGCAUGUUGCUUAUGUACAAAUCUUGGAAAAAACUAAUUCUGGAAGCAUCCUUUGAAUAUCAGUACAAACCGGUGCAAUUUUUUAGAUUGAUGUUUCCUAUUGCUCAUCAAUAUAGGUUGCUUUGCCUCUGUCUAUGGUGUUUUUUUUUCUGGAUGGAAUCAUCACCAAAAAAUUCAAAGCAGGUGAUUCUUCCCUUCAGAAUUUAUUCAUUCCCCCCUUAGCUUCCUGAAGAACCAUCAUGUAUCUUAUCCUAAUAGUUUGUGUAUAUAUGUUAAGAAAUGCAAUUCAAGGGACUCGACCAGUAAAAUGGAGUUUUGAUUGGGUAAUUUAAUUAUAGCCUUGAUUACCAUUGUCAAUUUUGUCGUGCAACAACUAACAAGGUAUUGGCUUGCAUACAUGCAAUUUUUAGCAAACAUUAUUCUUAGGAGGUCUCUAUACUUAUCAUUUAACUGCAACAAAGAAUUCAAGCGGCGCUGAUACAAUUGCUGAUCACUUGAUCUGAUGCUUUGCAGAGUAACCACUGAGAAUAUGAAAGAGAGCUUGCAAUUCCAUUCGUCAAUGUGCAGUGGCAGGGAACAAAUUUACAUUUUGUAGCGGCGACAUCAACGGAUGGAGGGUACGCCUGCUGCAGUGGACUUUGUCAUCUCAUCAACAUCCUCGCCCGUGACAGUACACGGAAGCUUUCUCUUGCUGUUGAAAUCUCUGAAGAAUUUUAUGGAAGAUUGCAUCAAGGGGGAUAUAUUGGUUUUGAGGCACCAGCACUUUUUUGCUUAGGAGUAGUUUUGCUGCUUUGUUGAUAAGCAUACUGAAGGUAUUAUUUCUUUUUCACGACGAGGGCGGUGGCGGGGGUUGCUGCAGCUCCAGCGUGGCCCUGGAGCUCAUGGUGUGCCUCAUACUGUACCUCAACUACCUGUACGUCUGAUGGAGCAAAAGGGACGGUGUGCAUCGAACGGGGCCGGGUCGAUGAGGAAGAGGACCGGCAGAGGGGGCUCGACAAGGUGUCACAUUCAAAAGGCGCGGACGCAUGGUUGCGACAGCAAGGUCGGGGAGGAGUGUGCAGUCUACCUGGGUGCCAUGCAAGAUGGAUACGGCACGGUGGUCGGGCCGACAUGGAGCAUUCUCAUUAUUAUGGAAAAUGAUGGAUAGCAAAAUCCACAAGAUCACCAGCCGAGGGGGGAGGGUGGCUUGACAAGGCGGUGCUGGCAGCUAUGCCCAUGCCAGUGUUCAGAUUCAAGGGGGUCGCGCGAUGGCGCAAAGAUUGGUAGCCACUGCAUAUGUGUUGCUUCAUCAUCAUGCCUUGGAAGCAUGGGUGGCUUCCGCUGCUUGAUGGUUAGCCAUCCAGUACACAAUUAUUUUUUGUUAGCUUGUUUCAAUUGGAAGCAAUAAUUUUUUGCUAUGACUUCUAGAUUGUAAUCCUUCUUGACUUUUGAAUCAGUGAUAAGUGUAAUCCUACUUGACUUUGCAUCAGUGAUAAAUGAUUCAAUGAGUUUGUAAUUAAA